GCUUGCGGCCAUACCACCCUCAGCACGCCUGAUCUCAUCUGAUCUCAGAAACUAAGCAGGGUAGGGCCUGGUUAUUAUUUGGAUAGGAGACCGCCUGGAAAUAGCAGGUGCUGUAAGCC
Molecule: ribosomal RNA, 119 nt
Filed under: Amphilophus citrinellus (Midas cichlid)
Lineage: Eukaryota; Metazoa; Chordata; Actinopteri; Cichliformes; Cichlidae
Source: RNAcentral